This 26-nucleotide non-coding RNA is filed under the name Bos taurus (domestic cattle). Lineage: Eukaryota; Metazoa; Chordata; Mammalia; Artiodactyla; Bovidae. The record is from RNAcentral. RNAcentral also lists the same sequence under 1 other name.
CGCCUCUAAGUCAGAAUCCAUGCCAG